UACGUAGGUGGCAAGCGUUGUCCGGAUUUAUUGGGUUUAAAGGGUGCGUAGGCGGUCUAUUAAGUCAGUGGUGAAAGACGGUAGCUCAACUAUCGAGGUGCCAUUGAUACUGAUGGACUUGAGUGCACACGAGGUAGGCGGAAUGGACGGUGUAGCGGUGAAAUGCAUAGAUAUCGUCCAGAACACCGAUAGUGAAGACAGCUUACCAGAGUGCAACUGACGCUGAGGCACGAAAGUGUGGGGAUCAAACAGGAUUAGAAACCCCCGUAGUCC
This 273-nucleotide ribosomal RNA is filed under the name uncultured bacterium. RNAcentral's name for it is "partial 16S ribosomal RNA". It matches the Rfam family "Bacterial small subunit ribosomal RNA", at positions 524 to 796 of the family's 1533-position model. The record is from RNAcentral.